This 1317-nucleotide long non-coding RNA is filed under the name Nicotiana benthamiana. RNAcentral describes it as "long non-coding RNA (NBEN_LNC025326)". The record is from RNAcentral. Lineage: Eukaryota; Viridiplantae; Streptophyta; Magnoliopsida; Solanales; Solanaceae.
CAAACUUGCAAUCCACAAUUCUACAAGCCAAACCACAAGCACAACACGUCUCAUGAGUAUAAUUAGAAAAAUAUAGAGUCUCUUUUCUUCAUUGUAGUAGGUAACACUUGGAUAUUUAAAUUAUGCCACGCACUACAUGAGAAAACAACCAUCAAACAGAAUAUAAAUUUAAACACAAGAUCAGAAAAAUCAAACCUUAAAGAUAACAAGAACCUCAACUUUGAAAGUUGAGAUUUCAAAUAUACAAAAAAGUCCUUCCACCAACUAAACAUACUAAACUUCUACUAUUACACAACCACUCUGGUUUUCUGAUAGACCACAGUCCAUAAAUCAAGAACUCAGACUUCUCUUCACUAAACCUCCUCAAGUCCAAGCCUUUUCAACUGAAGUGAACAAAAUCAAUGGUAAAAAGCAAAGCAUCACGCAACAGAAGUAAAAUGAGAAAACACACAAGUCCAAAUACAAAGAACUCAAAAAAAAAUAAUCAAAUCACAGUCCAUAAGACGACAAAAUCAGUAAACUAGAACUACUAGAUCUCCUAACCAGGAACCAAAAAAACCGAUCUUUUUUGCAUUCCAAGAUUCAACUUACUGAAAAUCUAAAACCCCAAAACAGCAUUUUCAGCUUCAGAACUCUAAUGCCCAUAAGAUAUAACACUACAGUUUAUUGCAAACCCAGAGAGAAAAAUGCAGAUGCUAGUGAAUAACAUGUACUCACUUAAAUCACCAUAAAAUGAUUAUAAGCCCAUUGAAUCCACAAGAGAUCUGACAGAAUCUUGGAAAAAUGAAACUGACCCCAGAAAGAGAAACAACUCCCACAAACACAAACUAAGAUCUUGUAACCUUAAAAUGGUGAUUUACUGAAACUGACCCCAGAAAGAGAAAACAACUCCCACAAACACAAACUAAGAUCUUGUAACCUUAAAAUGGCGAUUUACAGAAAAUGCUGUUGUUGUAAUUGGUGAUUAUUUUUUUAUUUUUCUUAGGGGGGCGCGUUGUGGGGGCGGGGGGGGGUCUUUGUUUUGUGAAUUGGAAGUGAAAAGGUCUGAACUGUGAAGAGGGGCUAACUCUCUCUCUCUCUCUCUAUCUCUCUACUUUGUUUUUUCAAAUCAAAAAUUGCAGUGGGGGAGGUUUUUGCGGCUUUGGGAGAGGUUCUGGGGGUGUUUUUACAAUUUUUUAAAGUUGAUGUGCCAGCGAUAUUCAAAUAUAUUCCAGGUCACUGUGUGAUAAGAGAGAGAGAGAGAGAAUUCUGUAUGUAUGGAGUGUGGACUCGGAGAUGAUACUUUUAUUACUGUUUAGAGAGAGAAAUAUAUGGUUG